AACACAUGCAAGUCGCACGGGACUGGGGGCAACUCCAGUUCAGUGGCGGACGGGUGCGUAACACGUAAGCAACAUGUCCAGGGGUGGGGGAUAGCCGGCCCAACGGCCGGGUAAUACCGCAUGCAGUCAUCGACGGCAUUGUUGGUGACNAAAGCCGGGGCAACCUGGCGCCCAUGGAGUGGCUUGCGGCCUAUCAGCUAGUUGGUGAGGUAACGGCUCACCAAGGCUACGACGGGUAGCUGGUCUGAGAGGAUGACCAGCCACAUUGGGACUGANACACGGCCCANACUCCUACGGGAGGCAGCAGUGGGGAAUAUUGCGCAAUGGGCGAAUGCCUGACGCAGCGACACCGCGUGUGGGAUGAAGGUCUUCGGAUCGUAAACCACUGUCAGAGGGGACNAAGGCCCGGCACUAACUAUGACCGGGAUUGACGGUACCCUC
RNAcentral lists this ribosomal RNA (441 nucleotides) under uncultured bacterium. RNAcentral's name for it is "bacterial SSU rRNA". It matches the Rfam family "Bacterial small subunit ribosomal RNA", at positions 50 to 482 of the family's 1533-position model. The record is from RNAcentral.